Molecule: transfer RNA, 85 nt
Filed under: Felis catus (domestic cat)
Lineage: Eukaryota; Metazoa; Chordata; Mammalia; Carnivora; Felidae
Rfam family: tRNA
About the family: Transfer RNA (tRNA) molecules are approximately 80 nucleotides in length. Their secondary structure includes four short double-helical elements and three loops (D, anti-codon, and T loops). Further hydrogen bonds mediate the characteristic L-shaped molecular structure. tRNAs have two regions of fundamental functional importance: the anti-codon, which is responsible for specific mRNA codon recognition, and the 3' end, to which the tRNAs corresponding amino acid is attached (by aminoacyl-tRNA synthetases). tRNAs cope with the degeneracy of the genetic code in two manners: having more than one tRNA (with a specific anti-codon) for a particular amino acid; and 'wobble' base-pairing, i.e. permitting non-standard base-pairing at the 3rd anti-codon position.
Source: Rfam by way of RNAcentral
GCCUGGGUGGCUCAGUUGGUUAAGUGUCUGACUUCAGCUCAGAUCGUGAUCUUGCAGUUUGUGGGUUUGAGCCCCGUGUCAGGCU